Molecule: non-coding RNA, 73 nt
Organism: Canis lupus familiaris (dog)
Lineage: Eukaryota; Metazoa; Chordata; Mammalia; Carnivora; Canidae
Source: Rfam
UCCUGGCUGGCUCAGUUGACAGAGCAUGUGACUCUUGAUCUCACAGUUGUGAGUUCAAGCCCCACGCUGAGUG